CUACGGGCGGCUGCAGUGGGGAAUAUUGCGCAAUGGGCGAAAGCCUGACGCAGCGACGCCGCGUGGAGGAUGAAGGUCUUAGGAUUGUAAACUUCUGUUAAGUGGGAAAAAAGAGUCAUUUCUAAUACAAGUGAUUGAUGAUGGUACCACUAGAGAAAGCACCGGCUAAUCUCGUGCCAGCAGCCGCGGUAAUACGAGAGGUGCAAGCGUUAUUCGGAAUAAUUGGGUGUAAAAGGCGCGUAGACGGCGUGUUAAGUUUGUUGUUAAAUCCUCCGGCUCAACCGGAGAUAUGCGGCAAAACUGGCAUGCUAGAGGAUGGAAGAGAGAAGUGGAAUUCUUGGAGUAGCGGUAAAAUGCGUAGAUCUCAAGAGGAACACCGAUGGCGAAGGCAGCUUCUUGGUCCACUCCUGACGUUCAGGCGCGAAAGCGUGGGGAGCAAACAGGAUUAGAUACCCUCGUAGUC
RNAcentral lists this ribosomal RNA (463 nucleotides) under uncultured bacterium. RNAcentral's name for it is "partial 16S ribosomal RNA". It matches the Rfam family "Bacterial small subunit ribosomal RNA", at positions 339 to 795 of the family's 1533-position model. The record is from RNAcentral.